This 400-nucleotide ribosomal RNA is filed under the name uncultured bacterium. RNAcentral describes it as "bacterial SSU rRNA". It matches the Rfam family "Bacterial small subunit ribosomal RNA", at positions 29 to 416 of the family's 1533-position model. The record is from RNAcentral.
AAUCAACGCUGGCGGCGUGCCUAACACAUGCAAGUCGAACGCGAGAGGGGCUUCGGCCCUGAUUGAGUGGCAAACGGGUGAGUAACGCGUGGGUGACCUACCUUCGAGUGGGGGAUAACGUUCCGAAAGGGACGCUAAUACCGCAUAACAUCCUGUCUUUGGACAGAUGGAGAUCAAAGCCGGGGAGUCGUAAGACCUGGCGCUUGAGGAGGGGCCCGCGUCCGAUUAGCUAGUUGGUGGGGAAUGGCUCACCAAGGCAACGAUCGGUAGCCGGCCUGAGAGGGCGGACGGCCACACUGGGACUGAGACACGGCCCAGACUCCUACGGGAGGCAGCAGUGGGGAAUUGUUCGCAAUGGGCGCAAGCCUGACGACGCAACGCCGCGUGAAGGAUGAAGGUC